AGCUCCAAUAGCAUAUAUUAAAGUUGUUGCAGUUAAAAAGCUCGUAGUUAGAUUUCUGACUGGGCAUGUGGGUCCGCUCUUACAAGUGUGCACCAUACAUGUCUAGCCAUCCUUUGGGAGAGUCACAGUGGCAUUAAGUUGUUGGUUUGGGGAUCCCAAUCCUCUACUGCAAAGAAACUAGAGUGUUCAAAACAUUCUUACGCCAUUGAAUAUAUUAGCAUGGAAUAAUAACAUAAGACUACUGUACUAUUUUUGUUGGUUCGCGCAUAAUAGUAAUGAUCAACAGGGAUAGUUAGGGGUAUUUGUAUUCCAUUAUCAGAGGUGAAAUUCUUUGAUUUUUUGAAGACAAACUACUGUGAAAGCGUGUACCAAAGAUAUUUUCA
RNAcentral lists this ribosomal RNA (383 nucleotides) under uncultured eukaryote. RNAcentral describes it as "SSU rRNA". It matches the Rfam family "Eukaryotic small subunit ribosomal RNA", at positions 587 to 972 of the family's 1831-position model. The record is from RNAcentral.